GAUGAACGCUAGCGGCAGGCUUAACACAUGCAAGUCGAACGGCAGCACAGGUAGCAAUACUGGGUGGCGAGUGGCGCACGGGUGCGUAACGCGUAUGCAACCUACCUCUAUCUGGGAGAUAGCCCGAAGAAAUUCGGAUUAAUACCCCAUAAUAUAUGUCUUUCGCAUGUUAGACAUAUUAAAGCUUUGGCGGAUAGAGAUGGGCAUGCGUGACAUUAGCUAGUUGGUAAGGUAACGGCUUACCAAGGCUACGAUGUCUAGGGGGUCUGAGAGGAUUAUCCCCCACACUGGUACUGAGACACGGACCAGACUCCUACGGGAGGCAGCAGUGAGGAAUAUUGGACAAUGGGCGAAAGCCUGAUCCAGCCAUGCCGCGUGCAGGAAGACGGCCCUAUGGGUUGUAAAACUGCUUUUAUAUGGGAAUAAACCUCCGAACGUGUUCGGAGCUGAAGGUACCAUACGAAUAAGGAUCGGCUAACUCCGUGCCAG
RNAcentral lists this ribosomal RNA (489 nucleotides) under uncultured bacterium. RNAcentral's name for it is "bacterial SSU rRNA". It matches the Rfam family "Bacterial small subunit ribosomal RNA", at positions 28 to 511 of the family's 1533-position model. The record is from RNAcentral.